AAAGGAAUAGACGGGAGCCCGCACAAGCAGUGGAGUAUGUGGUUUAAUUCGACGCAACGCGAAGAACCUUACCAGGACUUGACAUCCUAGGGACCUGGCGUAAUGGCCGGGGUGCCCCUUCGGGGGAACCUAGAGACAGGUGGUGCAUGGUUGUCGUCAGCUCGUGUCGUGAGAUGUUGGGUUAAGUCCCGCAACGAGCGCAACCCUUACUGUCAGUUGCUACGCAAGAGCACUCUGACGGGACUGCCGUUGACAAAACGGAGGAAGGUGGGGAUGAUGUCAAAUCAUCAUGCCCCUUACGUUCUGGGCUACACACGUACUACAAUGGCGAAAACAAAGGGGAGCGAAGCCGCGAGGUGGAGCAAAUCCCAAAAAAAUCGUCCCAGUUCAGAUUGCAGGCUGCAACCCGCCUGCAUGAAGUUGGAAUUGCUAGUAAUCGCGGAUCAGCAUGCCGCGGUGAAUACGUUCCCGGGCUUUGUACACACCGCCCGU
RNAcentral lists this ribosomal RNA (492 nucleotides) under uncultured bacterium. Its description in RNAcentral is "bacterial SSU rRNA". It matches the Rfam family "Bacterial small subunit ribosomal RNA", at positions 903 to 1397 of the family's 1533-position model. The record is from RNAcentral.